CGUACACUCCUACGGGAGGCAGCAGUGGGGAAUAUUGCACAAUGGGCGCAAGCCUGAUGCAGCCAUGCCGCGUGUAUGAAGAAGGCCUUCGGGUUGUAAAGUACUUUCAGCGGGGAGGAAGGCGAUAAGGUUAAUAACCUUGUCGAUUGACGUUACCCGCAGAAGAAGCACCGGCUAACUCCGUGCCAGCAGCCGCGGUAAUACGGAGGGUGCAAGCGUUAAUCGGAAUUACUGGGCGUAAAGCGCACGCAGGCGGUCUGUCAAGUCGGAUGUGAAAUCCCCGGGCUCAACCUGGGAACUGCAUUCGAAACUGGCAGGCUAGAGUCUUGUAGAGGGGGGUAGAAUUCCAGGUGUAGCGGUGAAAUGCGUAGAGAUCUGGAGGAAUACCGGUGGCGAAGGCGGCCCCCUGGACAAAGACUGACGCUCAGGUGCGAAAGCGUGGGGAGCAAACAGGAUUAGAAACCCGAGUAGUCCCAUGA
This 479-nucleotide ribosomal RNA is filed under the name uncultured organism. RNAcentral's name for it is "partial 16S ribosomal RNA". It matches the Rfam family "Bacterial small subunit ribosomal RNA", at positions 330 to 800 of the family's 1533-position model. The record is from RNAcentral.